ACAAAGGAAAAAGAAAAACACUCACCAUUAUUCUGGAUAUUCUUUCUUCUAUUCAGUACUUGCAGAACUACCCAAUGGCGAUUGCUCAGAAACUGUGGAAAAGCUUGACGUCUCUGAAGAAGUAGACUGAUGAUGCAUGUACUCUAAUGUGGGAGUAACUUCUAUAUUGAUAUAAUCACCAUGAUCACCAUGUGAUUCAGAAGAGCCUGGCAUGCUUCCAGCUGAUUCAGAUUGUGCUGGUGAGAAGUCUCCAAUGCUACAAACUGGGUUUGCAUCAUUCAAGUAAUUCAAAGCAUUAACUACCUGCAUUUGUAUCAGAAGAAGAAAACAAAACAAACCCAUCAGAUUUCAUUUGCCCCAGACAUACACAGAUAUUAACCAGAGUCUACUUAGUCAGGUGGACAUACAGCAUCCAUAGCUAAUCUCUUAUGGGGAUCCCUGCUGAGGCAUUUUUCGGCUACCCGAACCAUCCAAUAGAGUUGGUGAACAUCGUGGCAAUCCACAUUCCUGGGGUCGAUUAAAUCUGGGAGAAAGUUCCUCGUCUGGGCUUCCUGGUAUCAUUUCAUCAUAUUUUACAUGGCGGUCUUUGCUGCGUUUUUUGGUGACUGAUUUGCUCCGUCUUUCGGUGACUUGUUUGCUUCUCCCAAAUGGCUUUGGCCCUCUCAAUUUCUCAACACAAUUGUUACGUUUCAUCCUCGAUAUACCACAUGACAACUUCUCCAUGAAAAAUUGCUUGUCUUUCUUCAUCUGCCUGCAUGAACAAAUUAGAAAGGAGCUUUCACAUUGUGGUGUCUCAUUGUUUUCAGAUGGCAGUUUGUUUGAUAAGAAACAUUAUUUUAAUUUACAAGGUUUGGAAGUUUGUAAGGAAGUAUAAAGCUUCAUCAGUAGUGGCUUCAGAAAUUAGAAAAUUGGUGAAGUUAAAUGAUUUCACACAGAACCAUAUGUUUUUCACCUCCCAACUUGUAUUUAGCUAUGGAGUUGCAACAUAAAUUUGUCAUACGACAAUCAUUUGAACACUUUGACUGCCUAAACAACCUUAACACUGUUAGAAUUAGAGCAUUCAUCCCAAAACCAAUUGGCAGUGGGUGGAGAGAUUGAGGGCAUUAUAUAUUAUUUGGAAAGCCUUCAUGUUCUCAAUGUUCAAAAACUACACUUUAUUUUUUUUACAAUACUAUAUUAUUUUGACCUUCAAGUCAAUGUGUUUAGCACCUCCAACUAAUUCAAGCUCAAGGGUGGAUGAAAAUAUCAUCUUCCAAAGGACUUGAGACUGAACUACUGGCAACCACCGUGUAUUUUUAGAAAUUAUUCUCAGUGAUCUAUGUUUGGUGUAGAUUUCUAAUGAAUUGGUAUAUGGGAUAUGAUUUCAUGAACUUGAAACCAUAACUAUGAUCUCUUGAAUUUGAAAUCAUAACUACUAUUGGAGUUUCAAUAAAUCACCAAUGAUUGACUGCUUGAUAACACAAAUUCAUUAGCAUGGAUAAGUUAUUUUUAUUUUUAUAUUUAUGUUAGAUUUUGGCUUAUGAACAAUUUUACUUAUCUGUAUUAAUUUAUUGUGCAAUGUGAAGAGUACACUUCAAACAAGGUUGGAUGAGUAUCGUUGAACACAAUUCAAGCAGAACAAUUUCCAAUUCUUCAAAUAUUUUAAUGACUGACCUGUCAAGAAUCACCCAUGAUGCCCCUAAUCUUAUGGCAGCCUCCACAGCAACCAUCUUGGGAGAGGGACCAGCAAUCACCUCCAUGUUGAACUCAACCUGAGAAAUUUCAUCAGAAAACUGAUCCUGUCAUCGUUCGAUUGACAGAUUAGUUUAAUACAAAAGUACUCUGUCAGCAUAUGAUUGACAGAUGAUUCCUCUACUCUGUUGCACUGCAGGCUGUGAGCACUCUACCAAAUUCUGAAAAAAAUAAAGUGUAUGUUUUCCAACACAAGAUGCACUGGUAUGAUAGUAUAGCAGUACUUAGAUGAAUUAAAUGGAUCAAUUUAUCUGAAACAAAUAGCAGGUAAUCUCCACUUUGUAACAAAUAGUGGCUGCAAUUCAUAUCUGACCUUUGCCCUUUCACAUUGCUGAGAAAUCAUUGUUAUCUCCACUUUGUUACGAUACUCCUCCGCUUUCCUCUCGAGCUCUUCUUCCAUGACUUUCUGGUUUGUUCCGAAAAUAGACCUCGAGUUCAUCUUGGUCCUGUAUCCCACUGAGAAGGACAGAAAAGGUGGAAAAUUGGGUGUUGGGGGAAAUGAUAAGUUAGCAAAGUCUGUUCUGUGUGAUAGAAUCAUACAACUAAGAUAUUAUGUCUAUCAUAUUAAUUGGUUCUUAUGUUUACCAUACUUUCCAAAUUCUUUCUUCCUUUAUUAGAAAAACAAAAAUUAAAUUCUUACACAGUCUGCCAGCUGCCAUGAAAGAUAACGUACUAGGGUUAUUAACCUGGUGAAGAACUGCAAGAAGUGUAAGUUCAUCCCCAGGCUUAAGCAAUAAGCCUUGCAGGACCCAUUCGAUUGCGCUCGAACUAACAAUGUCUUUGGAUGCAUCCUGGAUCACCACUACUUUCUGAACUUCUGCUGCCAUGAUUUUUCUGACUGGAAGUAGUUUUUCUCCCUAUGAAUUUUCAAUAUGAUGAUACAAUGCAGAAAAGAGAAUCGACAAAUGAAGCACCAUAUGAAUAUGAAUUGCAAACUCCACAAAGCCAAAAGACCCAAGAUUGAGUGAGGAUGCGGAAAUAAGGCAAAGGAAACAAAGACUGAGAUGGAGAAUAUGAAUUUCUUUUCCUGUACCUUCUCCUUCUUCGACUUUUUUUGUUUGUUUUAGAUUUGAUUUCUUCCAAUUUUCUGUUAUACUAUUUUGCCAUGUGGUUCAUUAAUCUACUAUAGCAUCUGCGAGACGCGCGUUCUGUGUGGCUUAAAGGUUUCUCAUGUUUGCAUGGCUUAGAGGUUGAAUAUGGUGAGUAGGGUGUACUUAU
Molecule: non-coding RNA, 2949 nt
Organism: Prunus avium (sweet cherry)
Lineage: Eukaryota; Viridiplantae; Streptophyta; Magnoliopsida; Rosales; Rosaceae
Source: RefSeq, a predicted model, not a curated record